AUGCUCGCUUUGGCAGCACAUAUACUAAAAAUUGGAAAGAUACAGAGAACAUCAGCAUGGGCCUUGAGCAAGGAUGACACACAAAUUCAUGAAGUGUUCCAUAUUAAA
Molecule: small nuclear RNA, 108 nt
Organism: Oryctolagus cuniculus (rabbit)
Lineage: Eukaryota; Metazoa; Chordata; Mammalia; Lagomorpha; Leporidae
Source: Ensembl